This 763-nucleotide ribosomal RNA is filed under the name uncultured Streptococcus sp. RNAcentral's name for it is "bacterial SSU rRNA". It matches the Rfam family "Bacterial small subunit ribosomal RNA", at positions 28 to 776 of the family's 1533-position model. The record is from RNAcentral. Lineage: Bacteria; Bacillati; Bacillota; Bacilli; Lactobacillales; Streptococcaceae.
GACGAACGCUGGCGGCGUGCCUAAUACAUGCAAGUAGAACGCUGAAGGAGGAGCUUGCUUCUCUGGAUGAGUUGCGAACGGGUGAGUAACGCGUAGGUAACCUGCCUGGUAGCGGGGGAUAACUAUUGGAAACGAUAGCUAAUACCGCAUAAGAGUAGAUGUUGCAUGACAUUUGCUUAAAAGGUGCAAUUGCAUCACUACCAGAUGGACCUGCGUUGUAUUAGCUAGUUGGUGGGGUAACGGCUCACCAAGGCGACGAUACAUAGCCGACCUGAGAGGGUGAUCGGCCACACUGGGACUGAGACACGGCCCAGACUCCUACGGGAGGCAGCAGUAGGGAAUCUUCGGCAAUGGACGGAAGUCUGACCGAGCAACGCCGCGUGAGUGAAGAAGGUUUUCGGAUCGUAAAGCUCUGUUGUAAGAGAAGAACGAGUGUGAGAGUGGAAAGUUCACACUGUGACGGUAUCUUACCAGAAAGGGACGGCUAACUACGUGCCAGCAGCCGCGGUAAUACGUAGGUCCCGAGCGUUGUCCGGAUUUAUUGGGCGUAAAGCGAGCGCAGGCGGUUAGAUAAGUCUGAAGUUAAAGGCUGUGGCUUAACCAUAGUACGCUUUGGAAACUGUUUAACUUGAGUGCAAGAGGGGAGAGUGGAAUUCCAUGUGUAGCGGUGAAAUGCGUAGAUAUAUGGAGGAACACCGGUGGCGAAAGCGGCUCUCUGGCUUGUAGCUGACGCUGAGGCUCGAAAGCGUGGGGAGCAAACAGG